CGGCCGCCGGCGACCUGGGCCUACUUCCACUUCCGGGGUCACCAGGGAAGAGACGGGAAGGAAAAGAAAUAGCGGUUGGCUGAGAGGCAAGCCAAUCCAGCUAGGGCUGCGUCGACUCCAAGGAGGCGGUCCUAAGGAAGUACUGGCCCCGCCAUUUAAAGGCCCCUCCCUCCGCGUGUGGGAAUGGGAUUCCCGCAGGUUGCACCGCAGGAAGCAAGACAAAACCAGGGAGCUCAGAAGAGUCACUGCCCUGAUCCCUUCCGUGCCGGCAGCUGCGAGGACACAGGCCCCUUUGUAUCCUGCGGUGCGGAGGUGGAGCAGAGGAGAGGGUGCCCCGGCUGGCCCCCUCCCUCGCCCCGCAGCACUGCCCCUCCUUUCACAGCAACCCACGGCCUCCCCCGCGCUUGACCCAGCUGGCGAGCUGCCCCUUAUACCUGGAUCCGCCCCUCGGGUCGCAGCUCCCCAGGCCCGAUCACCGAGCGGUGCCUAGGAACUGGGAGCGUAACUUGGCUCGGCUCAGAACUUUGCCCGUGAGCCAAAGAACACUGAACUCAUCUACCUGCUGCUUGACAUCUCAUCUGCAUACCAAGCUAUUUGGUGGACGUCCACAAGCGCCCCCGCCCCCACGUAGACCCAGUUGGGUCCCCGUUCCGUCGGUCCCCUCCUCUGCACACGCCUCUAGCCUUAUACCCCGUCUUGAUCCGAAAGUUUUUCCACCCAUGAACCCCCAGUUGGCGCUCCCCGACCAGCAAAAGCCCCUUCCCUGGUCCACGAUCCCGACCACCCGGUUCUCCAGGAGACAAUACUCCAAUUCUCUGGAAAGUGGAAGAAACCAAGCUGAAGCUAGGGGGGCGCUGGGACCCCUAUUGGGGCUUUGAGAGCUUCCGGUUGUCAUCUCCUAAGUAUUCGGAGACCCUUCUCCAAAACUCUUGGGGUGACCCUCAAGACUCUUACCUGCUAUAUAGUUGGGGGUCUCUGGUCCUGGACUAGAGCAGUAGGCAACCUGGGUCCCCCCACACACACGGGAAAGAAUUGGAGGGGCCUGCCUUGUGAUGUCACCCCUCCUCCCCCCACCGCGCGCACGCGCGCGCGCACACACACAAACACAAACACACACCCCAACACACACGCCCUGUCCCCUUUCUCCACCCUGCAAGCUAGUUGCAUUUAGCUCACAGAGCCUGGGCUGCGACUUGAAAGAGUUUAGGCAGCAACAGAGUGACCCUGGGGGUGCUCUUGACCGACAGCCGCACCCCCGGCGUCUAGGACCUCCGAGCAGGGAUGCAUCUGGAGGUCUAGGGAAGCACUUCCACCCCCUCCUCUCCUCAAUCCUGGCAGGAUGUGCCCGAAAUGCCAGCUCCUCCUUGGUGUUCUCCUUUCAGGAUUUGAAUUCAAAUCCCAUUGGCAGCCCUGAUACCGCUGGGGGAAGGGUGAGUGAGCCAUUCCUCUCCCUUGGAAUUCAUCAGAGUCAUCCCUGUAGAGCCCCCUUCCUGCCUCUCAAUUCCUCCUGCCUCACUUCCCAGGCUACUGCUGCUUCAAGACAGUGACGUUUCUCUCCGGUCAGCUGUCAGGAGCGCUGCUGGGUCUUACUGGGGAUCUGGCCAGCCUUGGGGGCCCUUGGAGCCCUGGCCCAGUGGAAGCUCGUGCCUGAGGAACAUGGAGGCCACGCUAAUGAGUUACUUCCAGAGUCUUCAAGAGUGCCAACUGGGACCAGGACCCCAGACCACAGCCCCCCACACCGUCCUGGACCUGGAUUCUGACUGUGGUUCCACUGUACCCCUCACCUUAAUCUCUGGUUCUAACCAGACCUGAGCCUAGACUUCCACUUUUUCCCUUACCCCUGUGAGGGCCUGGGAACACUAGGUGGGCAGGGUUUGAGCCCACAGGACCUGCACACAAACUUCCCCACCUCUUGGACUUGGGGACAGGAUCUGUGCCUCAACCCAGACCAGCUUUGUAGGGAUAUGUUCCAAGAACAGAGAAGAGUCUUAUGGGGAAGGGGGAGGAAGGGAAGUAUGAAUAUUUACCUCUGACCAAUAAUAGAGGUGCCCUGGUCCCCAAAGAAAUUGACUCCCGAAUUCCCUCCAAGCCUUACCCAUAUAGCUUUUGUUUGUUUGUUUGUUUUCAGACAAGGUCUUGUUCUGUCCAGUGCCGUGGCGUGACCACAGCUCAUGACAACUUUGAUUUCCCCGGCCCAAGCGAGCCUCUCAUUCAGCCUCCUGAGUGGCUGGGACCACAGACGCCACACACAGCUAAUUUUUAUGUAUUCGUUUUUAUUUUUUUGCAGAGACAGGGUCUCCCUAUGUUGCCCAAGCUGGUCUUGAACUCCUGGGCUCAAGUGAUCCUCCUGCUUCAGCCUCCCAAAGUGCUAGGAUUAUAGCCACCGCACCUCGUCUUGAAAUAGCCUUUUAAAUGUUCACCUCAGCUUGCCUCACAGUGGUAAAAAUAAGCAUUUUUUUGUUUUGUAGGAUCAGGGAGCUUCCAAGGCAUUUGAUACCUUUUUGAUGGGAAGAAGGGCUCUGAGGAGCUCCAAGAUACCCCAACCUCCAGGCCCUUCAUUAGGGGGUAGUUGGGUUUCUGUUUGGCCUUUCCCCCUGGGCCCCAUAGGCUUAAACUACCCCCACCCCCACCUCCGCCUCCUACCUCAGCUGGGAGCACUGUCUUCCAUGGGGCUUCCACUUCUCUCCUCAACCUGGGGAAGACCACAGGGCAGUGCCUGCCUCAGGACCUGCCUUCCCCAAAAGCUGGCUUCUUGCUCCAAGGAGAGAGCAUUGACCCACCUGCCAGAGUCUUGCCUUUUGCCCAAAGGAGCCUGGUCUUCAGGGCUGCAUAGGAUGCAAGUGCCUUCUCUGCUUCUCACCGUGGGUGGCACUAAUUUCCUCCUUAACCAGAACUUUGUUCCAGCCACUGACCCAUUCUAACUCUUCCCCCUCUGACUCUCCUGCGCAGGGUCUGUUCCUGGUUUCCCAGAUGCAUAAAGGAAGACAUAUCCCUCCCCUGGGCAGCAAGGCUACAAUGGGAGGGAGGGAGAACAUGGGAGCAUGUGAAUAAAAUGGCAUUAAAUACUGAA
RNAcentral lists this long non-coding RNA (3070 nucleotides) under Homo sapiens (human). Its description in RNAcentral is "non-protein coding lnc-ORMDL2-1:1". The record is from RNAcentral. Lineage: Eukaryota; Metazoa; Chordata; Mammalia; Primates; Hominidae.